Molecule: ribosomal RNA, 348 nt
Filed under: Triticum aestivum (bread wheat)
Lineage: Eukaryota; Viridiplantae; Streptophyta; Magnoliopsida; Poales; Poaceae
Description: partial small subunit ribosomal RNA
Source: RNAcentral
AACCCGAAGUGUUCUUUCUGUGGGGAGAAUGAGACUUCCCAGCAUCUCUUCUUUGCCUGCCCUGUAGCUAAGGUGACUUGGAGAAGUGUUGCCUGCAUGCUCGGCACUGAUCUGUGCCCGAACAGCCUGUGGCAGGCUUACUCUUGGUGUUAUGUUUACUUCCCAAAUGGGGAGAUUUUCUACACAGUUGGCAUUUCUGCGCUUUGCUGGGCUAUUUGGACAUGUCGCAAUGGUGUUACGUUCGAGUCUAAACGUUUGAAAACACCUUUUGAAUGUUGCUUCUCCAUGUGUGCUUUCGUUGGUUAUUGGGCAGGACUGCUAAAGCAAGAGGAUGUGGCUGAUCUGUGA